Molecule: small nuclear RNA, 140 nt
Filed under: Pogona vitticeps (central bearded dragon)
Lineage: Eukaryota; Metazoa; Chordata; Lepidosauria; Squamata; Agamidae
Description: U4 spliceosomal RNA (ENSPVIG00000017665.1)
Rfam family: U4 spliceosomal RNA
About the family: U4 small nuclear RNA (U4 snRNA) is a component of the major U2-dependent spliceosome. The structure of U4 snRNA from yeast and human has been reported. U4 snRNA presents a k-turn RNA motif in the 5p-SL related to recognition of Snu13 protein.
Source: RNAcentral
AGCUUUGCGCAGUGGCAGUAUUGUAACCAAUGAGGUUAAUCCGAGGCGCGAUGAUUGCUAAUUGAAACUGAAGCACAAGAGCUAUGAUCUGGAACACAGCUUGGAAAAGUUACAUUUUUAGAAAACAACUCUCUAGGUUU